Long non-coding RNA from Mauremys mutica (yellowpond turtle), 580 nucleotides. RefSeq lists it as uncharacterized. NCBI's taxonomy places the organism in Eukaryota, Metazoa, Chordata, Testudines, Geoemydidae. The transcript is spliced from 4 exons. The record is from RefSeq and is a predicted model, not a curated record.
GCGGGGGAGGUAAUGCACUGCUCGAACUCAAGGCAGCAGUUCGGAGCCCGGGGGCGGCUCCCAGGCCGGGCAGGGCGAGUCCGCGGGGAGCUUUCAGCCCUGGAUCGAGGGAGAUUGCAAACACUCAGCAAACCCCCCCUCUCCGGAGGGAGCGACCCUGAACCGCAGUCAAUUAAUCCCAGCUGGGGCAUCUCGCACUGUAACACCGAUGGAUUCAGAAGCAGCCCAUGACUGUGGAGUGUGUUCAGACUCCAGAGGCUGGGGAAAAUGAAGAUCAUCUGGUAAACAGAAUGGUGGUAGAGCCCUAUACUGGAGUGAGAUGGAGAACUGUUUCUCUGAAGUCCACCAGCCUUUCACUUGCAGGCUAGUUGUGAUAAUGACAAGAAACUGGAGCUGAAACAUGAGGAGCAGAACCUAAUUAAUAAUGAAGGACAUGGUGAGGAGUUCAGCUCUGAAAUCCAGUGAGCGGCAGUAUCAUCAAACACGGGAAUGUCUCCCAUGGAACGCUGAUGCUGUUAAAAAAACAGCAACCAAGCAUCUGCAAAGAGACUUAUUUUAGCAGCUGAUGCUCCAAUUUAGU